CUAGUACUCCCUCCAUCCAGAAAUACUUGUCAUCAAAAUGGUUAAAAAGGAAUGUAUCUAGAUAUAUUUUAGUUCUAGAUACAUCUCUUUUUAUCCAUUUUAAUGACAAGUAUUUUCGGACAGAGGGAGUAUGAA
Molecule: non-coding RNA, 135 nt
Organism: Triticum urartu
Lineage: Eukaryota; Viridiplantae; Streptophyta; Magnoliopsida; Poales; Poaceae
Source: Rfam